AUGAUUGCGAAUCGUUGCCUUCUGUGCUGGCCAGCCACUGGCAAGUGCACGUUGGUGACUUUCAUCCAAUACCCUGUGAACCUUUGGCCUCUUGCUAGCUUUGGCCGGCAGAGGAAUUUUACACACACUCGCAUGUAAUGAAAUAUACUGUCGUGCGCAAGCACUAAUGUA
RNAcentral lists this unclassified non-coding RNA (171 nucleotides) under uncultured Sebacina. RNAcentral's name for it is "sequence contains ITS1". Lineage: Eukaryota; Fungi; Basidiomycota; Agaricomycetes; Sebacinales; Sebacinaceae. The record is from RNAcentral.